CGGCGGACGGGUGAGUAACGCGUGGGUAACUGCCUCAUACAGGGGGAUAACAGUUGGAAACGGCUGCUAUACCGCAUAAGCGCACAGUACCGCAUGGUACGGUGUGAAAAACUCCGGUGGUAUGAGAUGGACCCGCGUCUGAUUAGGUAGUUGGUGGGGUAACGGCCUACCAAGCGACGAUCAGUAGCCGACCUGAGAGGGUGACCGGCCACAUUGGGACUGAGACACGGCCCAA
This 235-nucleotide ribosomal RNA is filed under the name uncultured bacterium. Its description in RNAcentral is "partial 16S ribosomal RNA". It matches the Rfam family "Bacterial small subunit ribosomal RNA", at positions 96 to 334 of the family's 1533-position model. The record is from RNAcentral.